UCACUCCUAAUAUGUGUUCUUCCUUUUUCAUUAUCUAUUCUUCCUGCUUCUUUUGUUUUAAUUUCAACUAUAUAAUUUUAUUGUUGCCCUUCUAUCUUAUCAUUAGAACUUGCUGGUUUAUAAUUAGUUUUGUUGAUUCCUGUAGUCUCUGAUUAAUUAGGGAAGAUUUGUUUAACUUUUGAAUAUCCUUUAAUUAAUUAGAGAAAUUCUUGUUUAAUCCUGGAGAAAU
RNAcentral lists this long non-coding RNA (229 nucleotides) under Capsicum annuum. RNAcentral describes it as "long non-coding RNA (CANN_LNC000269)". Lineage: Eukaryota; Viridiplantae; Streptophyta; Magnoliopsida; Solanales; Solanaceae. The record is from RNAcentral.